This 234-nucleotide ribosomal RNA is filed under the name uncultured bacterium. RNAcentral describes it as "partial 16S ribosomal RNA". It matches the Rfam family "Bacterial small subunit ribosomal RNA", at positions 96 to 334 of the family's 1533-position model. The record is from RNAcentral.
UGGCGGACGGGUGAGUAAUGUCUGGGAAACUGCCCGAUGGAGGGGGAUAACUACCGGAAACGGUAGCUAAUACCGCAUAACGUCGCAAGACCAAAGAGGGGACCUUCGGGCCUCUUGCCAUCGGAUGUGCCCAGAUGGGAUUAGCUAGUAGGUGGGGUAACGGCUCACCUAGGCGACGAUCCCUAGCUGGUCUGAGAGGAUGACCAGCCACACUGGAACUGAGACACGGUCCAG